GCACCCACAAUAUAAUGCAUCAUCCUUAUUGUCUGUACGCCAUUUUGUAAUACGAGAAGAAAGACAGUGAACAGUCAGUAACAGCUACCUGCCUAUGUUGCACUGUAUGAUGUCAUGACAAAACAAGAAUAUGAUUUCACACUAAUUACACAUAAAAAUUUGUACCAACCCAGAAGCAGAUACAGGUAUUUGAAAUAAGGUGAUGUUGUAGGAUUAAUGGGGGUUGGACUCAUUGUUGUUCCAGUUGUUGUCACCUGAUUUUCCACGACAAGAAUGAUAGUGUUAGAUCCUGUGAAGCCUCCAUCAUGAACAGCACACGAGAUCAAACUACCAUGCAUGUCAGGCGACACAGAUGAAAACUCUAUUGUUUCCCAGAUAUGUGUGGAAUUCUGAUGUGACAUCUGAUCAACCACUGGAAAAAAAUUUAAAACAGGUGUUGGUGAGGUCUUUUCAGAAAGACAAGUGGCUUCAACCUUGUCACCAAUGUAAUAGGAAAGUUUUGACAAAGAGCAAACAGGAUAUAUAUUCGAUGGUACUUGGAGAACAUUCAGAUAGGCUUUUCUUGAUGAUAAAUUGUAGGUGUCAUUAACCCUAUAGACACACAUAUAAUCCGCUUCAUCCGAUCUUUCUGCAGGAUUGAUCUUUAUAAUAAAUUGAUAAUUUUCCAUAUUUACUCUUCUUGUUUCAAACGAAUAACGAGAGUGACCUGCAUCUCCACCUAGGCCUAGAGGCAUAUUAUGUUUAAUCCAGAAAAAGUUAUCGGUUGGCUCCUGAUGUUUGAUGAGCAACACACAACUGAAUGAUGCAAUUUCUCCUUCAGUAAUUGUAGUAUUUAAAGGAUCUACGAGGAAUGAGAUAUCCUGAGCUGUUGAUCUGACUGUAAAAACAAGCAAAACAAUUAAUAAUCCAAAAUGGGACACUAAAAGUACUUCCAUUCUCAGUAUUACCAUUUUUUUUAAUAGUCCUAAAUAAAAGUAUUUAUUAUUAUAUAUUACAAGUAAGAUACAAUGAAUACUACUAUUGAUUAAAUUCGUUUUAAAAUUAUUAUUAAUAUACACAAUUUAUAUUUCAGUAUUCCAAGAGUAAUAUCAUAUUUUUAUGUGUAUUAUUUUCAACCAUGGAAAAACAUUACAUCUCCAGUGUAUUACAUGAUCCAGGAGGCUCGAGGAGGUCGACAAACCAUUAGGCCAUUAUAUGUAUGGUAUGGUAAAAAAAGAAUCAUCUCGUUUGGAUCAAAAUGAUAAUGAUACAAGUUAAUUCUCCAACAUUCAAAUAUUAAAAUAAAGUUGAUUUGAUUAAAUUUGAGCUAGUGGUUGAUUUUA
This is a long non-coding RNA of Anneissia japonica, 1322 nucleotides long. RefSeq lists it as uncharacterized. The transcript has 4 exons. The record is from RefSeq and is a predicted model, not a curated record. NCBI's taxonomy places the organism in Eukaryota, Metazoa, Echinodermata, Crinoidea, Comatulida, Comatulidae.